Molecule: ribosomal RNA, 354 nt
Filed under: Scinax cruentomma (Manaus snouted treefrog)
Lineage: Eukaryota; Metazoa; Chordata; Amphibia; Anura; Hylidae
Description: partial 12S ribosomal RNA
Source: RNAcentral
AUAGUCAACUCUUACUCAACUUACACAUGCAAGUCUCCGCACCCCUGUGAAAACGCCCUUAAAUCCCUUUAGGGAUCAGGAGCUGGUAUCAGGCUCGAUUUUCAGCCCACAACACCUAGCUACGCCACACCCACACGGGCAUUCAGCAGUGAUUAACCUUGUCUAUAAGCGCAAGCUUGAUUCAGUCAGAGUAAACAGAGCCGGCAAAUGUGGUGCCAGCCGCCGCGGCCAUACCACAGGCUCAAGUUGAUUAUGUUCGGCGUAAAGCGUGAUUAAAGCUAAUCUAUAGCUGCAGUCGAAUUAUAAUUAAGAUGUGAAAACCUUUGUUCCUAAGAAGCACAAUAACGAAAGUCA